RNAcentral lists this microRNA precursor (105 nucleotides) under Marmota monax (woodchuck). Lineage: Eukaryota; Metazoa; Chordata; Mammalia; Rodentia; Sciuridae. The record is from RNAcentral.
AUACAAUUCACUUAGGGAUUGUGUUAAAAUGCAGAUUCUGGCUCUGUAGGUCUGGAAUUAGGCCUAAGAUCCUGCAUUUUCAACAACCUCCCAGAUGAUGCCAGU